UACGUAGGCAGCGAGCGUUGUUCGGAGUUACUGGGCGUAAAGGGUGCGUAGGCGGGUCUUUAAGUCAGGGGUGAAAUCCUGGAGCUCAACUCCAGAACUGCCUUUGAUACUGAGAAGCUUGAGUCCGGGAGAGGUGAGUGGAACUGCGAGUGUAGAGGUGGAAUUCGUAGAUAUUCGCAAGAACACCAGUGGCGAAGGCGGCUCACUGGCCCGGUACUGACGCUGAGGUGCGAAAGCGUGGGGAGCAAACAGG
RNAcentral lists this ribosomal RNA (253 nucleotides) under uncultured bacterium. Its description in RNAcentral is "partial 16S ribosomal RNA". It matches the Rfam family "Bacterial small subunit ribosomal RNA", at positions 524 to 776 of the family's 1533-position model. The record is from RNAcentral.